UACGGGGGGGGCAAGCGUUGUUCGGAAUUACUGGGCGUAAAGGGCUCGUAGGCGGCCAACUAAGUCCGACGUGAAAUCCCGCAGCUUAACUGGGGAACUGCGUCUGAUACUGGAUGGCUUGAGUUUGGGAGAGGGAUGCGGAAUUCCAGGUGUAGCGGUGAAAUGCGUAGAUAUCUGGAGGAACACCGGUGGCGAAGGCGGCAUCCUGGACCAACACUGACACUGAUGAGCGAAAGCCAGGGGAGCAAACGGG
This 253-nucleotide ribosomal RNA is filed under the name uncultured bacterium. RNAcentral's name for it is "partial 16S ribosomal RNA". It matches the Rfam family "Bacterial small subunit ribosomal RNA", at positions 524 to 776 of the family's 1533-position model. The record is from RNAcentral.